RNAcentral lists this ribosomal RNA (460 nucleotides) under uncultured bacterium. Its description in RNAcentral is "partial 16S ribosomal RNA". It matches the Rfam family "Bacterial small subunit ribosomal RNA", at positions 338 to 795 of the family's 1533-position model. The record is from RNAcentral.
CCUACGGGUGGCAGCAGUGAGGAAUAUUGGUCAAUGGCCGCUAGCCUGAACCAGCCAAGUAGCGUGAAGGAUGACGGCCCUAUGGAUUGUAAACUUCUUUUAUAAGGGAAUAAAAUGCAGUAUGUAUGCUUCUUUGCAUGUACCUUAUGAAUAAGCAUCGGCUAACUCCGUGCCAGCAGCCGCGGUAAUACGGAGGAUCCGAGCGUUAUCCGGAUUUAUUGGGUUUAAAGGGAGCGUAGGCGGGUUGUUAAGUCAGUUGUGAAAGUUUGCGGCUCAACCCUAAAAUUGCAGUUGAUCCUGGCAGCCUUGAGUAGAGUAGAGGUAGGCGGAAUGCGUGGUGUAGCGGUGAAAUGCUUAGAUAUUGCGCAGAACUCCGAUUGCGAAGGCAGCAUGCCGGACUGUAUCUGACGCUGAGGCACGAAAGCGUGGGUAUCAAACAGGAUUAGAUACCCGUGUAGUC